Molecule: long non-coding RNA, 1576 nt
Organism: Junco hyemalis (dark-eyed junco)
Lineage: Eukaryota; Metazoa; Chordata; Aves; Passeriformes; Passerellidae
Source: Ensembl
CUGCAUAGCUACACUGUUGCCACCUCCCUGGAGAGCAGGAGUGCUACGUGCUCUCCGGGACGUAGGGACACCUUGGCUGUGGUGUUGGGAUAUUCUCAGUCGUGCCAAGGGUGGGUUUGGCUAAUCAAGUCGCUACGUGCCUGUUGUCCAGUGUGUGAUAUUCCAGGGACUUUCCGACCCCAGCGGUGUCACCCACGUGUGUGGAACUGUUACUGACAGUUGCUGACUCAUGGGUACGGCACACCAACAGUCUCCAAAAUAUCUGGAAACCUCAUCCACUUUCAGAAGAUGAGAAAAAGAAGGAAACUAAGACUUAACUCCCAGUUGGCCUGUGACAUAAUGCACAGAGAUGCACACGAAGAAACCAUGUCUUCUGAAAUGCUCUACUGUGCCACAAAGGAGGAGCGGACGGUGUCCGUGCCAGGCAGGGAGCAUGUCCCCCAUGGGGGGGCAGCGUGCUCCCAGCAGCUGCUGUGCCUGCCACUGUGCCUUUCUCCCGGCUCCCACUGCCCGGAGCAGCAGGGUUCUGCUGCCAAGUGGGGCUGGGACCCUUGGGCCUCUGCCAGCAUGGACUAAGUCAUUGCUUCCCCUCCUCCCCUGUGUCACCAGGGUCUUGCUGUGACACACAGGGCUGGGUGGCCGGGCCCGGAUUUUGAGGUAGGUGGCUGGCCCAACAAGAUAUUGUACAAAACACAGUGGUGGCUGGUGAUGAGGAGCUCUGUGACAGAAACACGGUCAGAUGUAAGCCUAAAUGCUGGGUCUGUAUGUUGUCAACUCAAAUGAUGGAUGGAGGAUUAAAAGGGACACACCAGGACCCUUCUGCACAACAGUAGUGUGCACGGGGUGCUUAAAUUUGUGUUUGUUAGUGUCCCCUGUGAUAUCCAGGACAAUGUCCCUCUCCCCACUGUUCCUUUGAAUUCCUGACUCUUCUCCACCUUGCACCAAGUUCUUUUCCCCCAGCUCUUCCAGCCUGAGUUCUUUGCACUGAUAUCAGGGAAAUCUACCCCUGUAUUGUUAUGGCCUCAGAAAGGCAAAGGUACUAUGGCAGACUCUUGGCCAUAGUACUGUGCAAAGCCCUCUGACGCAUUUUUCUCUGUCUCUCCUUUGCAGGUGACCCAGGGCAGAAGGCAACCAAGUGGACUUUGACUCCAGGCUAGAGGGGGAUCAAUGAGUUUUGCUUUCACUAAUCUGUGAAUCUUGCUUACAGGGACUGUGGCUGCCAGGCAUCCCUGAACAGGUAAUAAUUAGCAUUGACUCCAUGAUUCACAGAAGGCUGAUCAAUCUCUAUAUUAUAUUAUGUUAUGUUAUGUUAUGUUAUGUUAUGUUAUGUUAUGUUAUGUUAUGUUAUGUUAUGUUAUGUUAUGUUAUAUUAUAUUAUAUUAUAUCAUUAUUAAGAAACCCAUUGCUUUUAUAGACAGUUACGAUACACCUGGACCUAACUGGUCCUUUAAUUAAAACACCAUUUCCAUUGGCUAAUUAAGAAAUCACCCUUUGGUAAACUAAUCUCCAUAACACAUUCCACAUGUUCACAAUGAGAGGUGCAGCAGGUUAAGAUAAGAAUUAUUUAUCAUUCUUU